This is a long non-coding RNA of Brachypodium distachyon (stiff brome), 1954 nucleotides long. RefSeq lists it as uncharacterized. The transcript is spliced from 3 exons. The record is from RefSeq and is a predicted model, not a curated record. Lineage: Eukaryota; Viridiplantae; Streptophyta; Magnoliopsida; Poales; Poaceae.
AUAGAAAUGAGGGCCAACAAUGUGUAUUGUAAUUUUUAGAAGUUAGAAAAAAGAACAUGCCAUGCACAUCAGCACAUAUAUUAUUGAGCUCUUUUAUGGUAAUCGUCGAGAAUCCGUUGAUAGGGUUAUUUCUUCUUUUCAUGGGCCGUAACUCUAUUCCUCGAUCCCUAGCGUCGGCCGCCCGAGCGAGGCCCCUCCGCCGCCCGAGCCCUUCUCGUCGACCGUCCGCCACCGCCCGCGCUCUCCUCCGCCCGUGGGGCGCCUCCGUUGGCCGGCCGCGCUCCUCCUCGGAUGUAGCCCAGCCAGAUCCACCGCGGCGCCAUCCCCCAUCGGCAGGUCUGAAGAGGGGAUUGGACGGUGACGACGCGGACGGCUCCUUGCAGUGCCACCGCCAUGUCUUUCCUUCGACUCGUGGCUGCCUCCCCCUCCUUCGACGGGACGCCGAUCUUCCGCUAGAAGGUCUCAAAAAGUUCAAUUUGUCUGAAUUGGAGGCCGCUACAAAUAACUUUUCAGAACAGAGCUUGAUUGGAGAAAGUGUCUCUUGUACCGUAUACAAGGCUUGAAAAGAAUGUGAAAAACUUGCAAGAAAACUGCAUAUUGUAAGAUGCAAUACGACUCUUUUGUUCAUUUGUCUACAGGUUGUCCUCUUCAGAACCUGUGUACUCCUUUUUUUGCAAAGAUGCAAUAGGACUCUUUUGUUCAUUCGUACAGAGGUUUAGAACCUCUAUACUCAGCAAAGCCUUGACAGGUUCAGGCUCUCCUCUGUAAAAUGCUGCUAGCCUGCCAUGCCUACCGGAAGGAUUGUGAUACAUAGUAGUUUGGAUAUUAAAUGGGAUAGUAGUAGCUCUACUCUAAGCUUUUCCAUAAAAAUCUCUACUUCAAAAUGUUUUUCUGUACAUAUGGGUGACUUACAAGGAAGUAUAUGACUCUGUGCUUAAGACGGCGGCUUCAAUUCGGAGUUGCAGCGUCAGCAGUGUAAGUGGCGGUUGGCGGUGUGGGCAUUUGAAACUUGUUCACUGAUUUUUGCACACCUGGGGUGAUCCUGUUGAUGUCAAAAUUGGCUGCAUGCAGAAACACAAGGAUUUGCAAUUUGAUGCUUGGCACUUAGUAACGAAUGCAGUCACCUGGAAAUGUUAGUUCUUAUUGCAAUUGCAGGCACAAACCAUUACGAUUAAAGCAAAGAGUCACAACUUCAAGAUUAAAAUGCUCACGAAAGAACACCAGCACACCUGCAAGUCAACUGGUCUAAUGCUCUGGGAAUCAGCUCAAUUCAUGUGCAGUCUUUCUAGCGGAAAAUCCCUCCAUAGUUGCCGGCAAAAGGGUGCUGGAGAUAGGCUGUGGCUCAGCUGGCAUCUGCUCAGUGGCUGCUGCCAGUUUUGCUCAGUUUCUUGUAGCUACUGAUGGGGAUGAAGAAUCGAUUGAUCUACUUAGACCAGUUGCAUAACAGAAUUUUUAUUAGGAAGCUAUUUUGGGGCGAUGAAGAUGAUAUGAAGGAAGUCAGGGAGCUUUCUGGCGAUUCUGGAGGUUUUGAUUGUAUAAUAGGCACUGACGUCACCUACAAUCCUGAUGCUAUACUUCCUCUCUUCAGAACUGCUAGAAAAUUGAUUUCUGACCAGAGCAAUGGUGAUUCAGAGGCAGCCCUGAUUCUUUGCUACAUUCAGCGCCGUGUUGAUGAGGAUUCUAUCCUUUCUAUUGCAACAGCCCAAGGCUUCAGACUUGUAUCAUUAGCUCUUGGUUCUGUGGUAAUGAUGUAUGCAGUGCUUUCCGGAAUGUAACACUUUCCAUUUUUUAUUUUGAAGUGUGAAACACUGGUGCCUGAAUUGCAUGGUUACCAUACUUGCAGAUUUAUUUUAUUUCUCCUUAGCUACUGUACUAAAGGAAUAUUGUUGUAUGUCACAACUGUACUGAUAUGACUGUUGUGAUAUCAGUAUGAAGUAUUUGGUUUCAACUUCCA